RNAcentral lists this unclassified non-coding RNA (1632 nucleotides) under uncultured fungus. Its description in RNAcentral is "sequence contains 18S rRNA gene, ITS1, 5.8S rRNA gene, ITS2, 28S rRNA gene". The stretch from base 608 to 1632 matches the Rfam family "Eukaryotic large subunit ribosomal RNA", at positions 1 to 961 of the family's 3401-position model. Lineage: Eukaryota; Fungi. The record is from RNAcentral.
GGUUGGAUCAUUAUUAAAUGAUAGCCAGUUCUCUCUGUUUCGGCAGAGAUUGAGCAGGCAUUAACCCUUUGUGAACUGUUAUUUUACUUGGUAGGUUCAAUCUUGCCCUUUGAGCUUCGGCGAAGAGGGUGGGAAAGUUCCUACCGCCAUUUAUACCAACCCCUUAUAUGAUUAUCUGAAAUUGAGUUAAUGAGAAACAACUUUUGACAAUGGAUCUCUUGGCUCUCGCAACGAUGAAGAACGCAGCGAAAUGCGAUACGUAAUGUGAAUUGCAAAUUCUCGUGAAUCAUCAAAUCUUUGAACGCACAUUGCACUCUGUUUCGGCAGAGUAUGCCUGUUUGAGAAUCUAUAGUUUUCUUACUAGACGGUGUUUUACUUUCGGGUGAAGCAUUGAAUGGUAGAUUUGAGACUUGAAUGCCUAGCAUUCUGUCUUUAAAUAGAUUGCUGCCUAUGAAUGGUGACUUUAGUGUUUGAAUAGGACUUUUGUUCUCGAUUGCGCUGAGGAAGCUAUGCUAUGGUAGUUCAUAACCUAUAGAAUUCCUAUGAACUUGCUGCAAAACCUUUGUUUCGGCAGAGGCUAGUAGUAGGGACGUAGUAAUUUGAACCAUGGUCUCAAAUCAGGUAGGAAGACCCGCUGAACUUAAGCAUAUCAAUAAGCGGAGGAAAAGAAACUAACAAGGAUUCCCCUAGUAACGGCGAGUGAAGCGGGAUGAGCUCAAAUUUGAAAUCUCGUACCUUUGGUACGCGAAUUGUAGUUUAAAGAAUCGUUUUCGGAGUUGGUCUCAGUACAAGUUCUUUGGAACGAGACAUCAUAGAGGGUGAAAAUCCCGUCUUUGACUGAGAUACCAAUUCUAUGUGAUACGUUUUCUAAGAGUCGGUUUGUUUGGGAAUGCAGACCAAAAUGGGUGGUAAAUACCAUCUAAAGCUAAAUAUUGGCGAGAGACCGAUAGCGAACAAGUACCGUGAGGGAAAGAUGAAAAGAACUUUGAAAAGAGAGUUAAAUAGUACGUGAAAUUGUCAAAAGGGAAACGUUUGAAACCAGUAUUGCGGGCAGUACUUCAGCUAUCCUUUAGGGUAGUGUAUUGUACUGUCUGCGAGUCAACAUCAGUUUGACUCUUGGUAAAAUGCUAGCGGAAAGUAGCCCUCUUUGGGGUGUUAUAUACGUUAGUUAUGCCGAGGGUUGGACUGAGGGCUGCAGUUUAUGUUGGGAGCUAGUUGCCUUUGGAAGUAGUGGUGUUAAAUGCUUGCAGAUGACACUUCCUACCAAGAAGUUCGGCUGGUAACCUUUGAAUUUUGGAUGUUGACGAAAUGGUUUUAAGCGACCCGUCUUGAAACACGGACCAAGGAGUCUAACAUAUAUGCGAGUGUUUGGGUGUUAAACUCUUACGCGUAAUGAAAGUGAAAAGGUGGGAUCCUUUAUUGGUGCACCAUCGACCGCGCUAGAUUAUUACUAUCUCAGCGUGAGUAUGAGCAUAUAUGCUGGGACCCGAAAGAUGGUGAACUAUGCCUGAAUAGGGUGAAGCCAGAGGAAACUCUGGUGGAGGCUCGUAGCGGUUCUGACAUGCAAAUCGAUCGUCAAAUUUGGGUAUAGGGGCGAAAGACUAAUCGAACCAUCUAGUAGCUGGUUCCCUC